CCUUUUGUAGAAUGAACCGGCGAGUUACGAUUUGUUGCAAGGUUAAGCGGAAAAAGCGGAGCCGUAGCGAAAGCGAGUCUGAAUAGGGCGCAUAAGUAACAGGUCGUAGACCCGAAACCAGGUGAUCUACCCAUGUCCAGGAUGAAGGUAAGGUAAUACUUACUGGAGGUCCGAACCCACGCACGUUGAAAAGUGCGGGGAUGAGGUGUGGGUAGCGGAGAAAUUCCAAUCGAACUUGGAGAUAGCUGGUUCUCUCCGAAAUAGCUUUAGGGCUAGCCUCGAGGUAAAGAGUCAUGGAGGUAGAGCACUGUUUGGACUAGGGGCCCUUCUCGGGUUACCGAAUUCAGAUAAACUCCGAAUGCCAUGUACUUAUACUCGGGAGUCAGACUGCGAGUGAUAAGAUCCGUAGUCGAAAGGGAAACAGCCCAGACCACCAGUUAAGGUCCCCAAAUAUAUGUUAAGUGGAAAAGGAUGUGGGGUUGCUUAGACAACCAGGAUGUUGGCUUAGAAGCAGCCACCAUUGAAAGAGUGCGUAAUAGCUCACUGGUCGAGUGACCCCGCGCCGAAAAUGUACCGGGGCUAAACAUAUUACCGAAACUGUGGAUGAACCUCUUUAGAGGUUCGUGGUAGGAGAGCGUUCUAAGGGCGGUGAAGUCAGACCGGAAGGACUGGUGGAGCGCUUAGAAGUGAGAAUGCCGGUAUGAGUAGCGAAAGAAGGGUGAGAAUCCCUUCCACCGAAUAUCUAAGGUUUCCUGAGGAAGGCUCGUCCGCUCAGGGUUAGUCGGGACCUAAGCCGAGGCCGAUAGGCGUAGGCGAUGGACAACAGGUAGAGAUUCCUGUACCAGUGCUAAUUGUUUAACCGAUGGGGUGACACAGAAGGAUAGGGAAUCGCACGAAUGGAAAUGUGCGUCCAAGCAGUGAGUGUGAGAAGUAGGCAAAUCCGCUUCUCGCGAAGCAUGAGCUGUGAUGGGGAAGGAAAUUAAGUACGGAAGUUCCUGAUUUCACGCUGUCAAGAAAAGCCUCUAGGAAGAGUAGUACUGCCCGUACCGCAAACCGACACAGGUAGAUGAGGAGAGAAUCCUAAGGUGAGCGAGAGAACUCUCGUUAAGGAACUCGGCAAAAUGACCCCGUAACUUCGGGAGAAGGGGUGCUCUAUUAGGGUGCAAGCCCGAGAGAGCCGCAGUGAAUAGGCCCAGGCGACUGUUUAGCAAAAACACAGGUCUCUGCAAAACCGUAAGGUGACGUAUAGGGGCUGACGCCUGCCCGGUGCUGGAAGGUUAAGAGGAGUGCUUAGCUUCGGCGAAGGUACGAAUUGAAGCCCCAGUAAACGGCGGCCGUAACUAUAACGGUCCUAAGGUAGCGAAAUUCCUUGUCGGGUAAGUUCCGACCCGCACGAAAGGCGCAACGAUCUGGGCACUGUCUCAACGAGAGACUCGGUGAAAUUAUAGUACCUGUGAAGAUGCAGGUUACCCGCGACAGGACGGAAAGACCCCGUGGAGCUUUACUGCAACCUGAUAUGGAAUGUUUGUACCGCUUGUACAGGAUAGGUAGGAGCCGAAGAGACGUGUGCGCUAGCAUACGAGGAGGCAAUGGUGGGAUACUACCCUGGCUGUAUGACCAUUCUAACCCGCCACGCUUAGCGCGUGGGGAGACAGUGUCAGGUGGGCAGUUUGACUGGGGCGGUCGCCUCCUAAAGAGUAACGGAGGCGCCCAAAGGUUCCCUCAGAAUGGAUGGAAAUCAUUCGCAGAGUGUAAAGGCACAAGGGAGCUUGACUGCGAGACUGACAAGUCGAGCAGGGACGAAAGUCGGGCUUAGUGAUCCGGUGGUUCCGCAUGGAAGGGCCAUCGCUCAACGGAUAAAAGCUACCCCGGGGAUAACAGGCUUAUCUCCCCCAAGAGUCCACAUCGACGGGGAGGUUUGGCACCUCGAUGUCGGCUCGUCGCAUCCUGGGGCUGUAGUCGGUCCCAAGGGUUGGGCUGUUCGCCCAUUAAAGCGGCACGCGAGCUGGGUUCAGAACGUCGUGAGACAGUUCGGUCCCUAUCCGUCGCGGGCGCAGGAAAUUUGAGAGGAGCUGUCCUUAGUACGAGAGGACCGGGAUGGACACACCGCUGGUGUACCAGUUGUUCCGCCAGGAGCAUCGCUGGGUAGCUAUGUGUGGCAGGGAUAAACGCUGAAAGCAUCUAAGCGUGAAGCCCCCCUCAAGAUGAGAUUUCCCAUUUCUUCGGAAAGUAAGAUCCCUGAAAGAUGAUCAGGUAGAUAGGUUUGGAGUGGAAGUGUAGCGAUACAUGGAGCGGACAAAUACUAAUCGAUCGAGGACUUAACCAAAA
Molecule: ribosomal RNA, 2328 nt
Filed under: Listeria monocytogenes
Lineage: Bacteria; Bacillati; Bacillota; Bacilli; Caryophanales; Listeriaceae
Description: partial 23S ribosomal RNA
Rfam family: Bacterial large subunit ribosomal RNA
Source: RNAcentral